Molecule: transfer RNA, 72 nt
Filed under: Candidatus Magasanikiibacteriota bacterium
Lineage: Bacteria; Candidatus Magasanikiibacteriota
Also listed under: 1 other name
Description: tRNA-Arg
Rfam family: tRNA
About the family: Transfer RNA (tRNA) molecules are approximately 80 nucleotides in length.
Source: RNAcentral
GUCCCGGUAGUUCAAUGGAUAGAACAAAAGCCUUCUAAGCUUUGGAUCAAGGUUCGAUUCCUUGCCGGGAUA